GCGUUACUAUGGUGCCUUUGGACUACUUCAUUAAAUCUGCAAAAUGGAGGAAGGUACAAAUGGUCCAGAAGAGUCUGAGAGUGGACAUGCCUUUGUCGCAUCUUUGUAUUCUUCCUGGGUUAUAGUUUCAAGUAAUUCUUUAGUUCGAAGAAAGAUAUAGUUCUUGAAAAACAAAACCCAAACUAUUAGUAUGAUGUAAGUGAUACGCGUGGAGAAUAACCAAUCAUCCAUCCCACUUGGUUCCUUUCUGUUAACUUUGGGAAAGACAUGAAGAAGCUGACUGUGAAAGACUUGGACGAAAAGCAGAUAGGACGCAGGUUGACAUGGUUCUCACCGGGCCUGCUCAUAGGCCACAGCAUGAAGGUGUUUACUCUGCCACAUGGCUGCUAUAAUAACAUGGUGGCUUCUAUCCUUUGUUAUUCAGUGUACAUGACUGCGCAUACUGACUGUCAUUUGUCUUAAAUCUACAGUUUGCUUCUGUCUUUCGUUAUUCAGUGUCCAUUAGUGACUGCUCCUAGUUGUUUGCGGUCAGCAUGAUUUAGCUGUCCCUGAUAAUUUGAUAUGAACUGCAAUGUUUU
Long non-coding RNA from Lolium rigidum, 578 nucleotides. RefSeq lists it as uncharacterized. The transcript is spliced from 3 exons. NCBI's taxonomy places the organism in Eukaryota, Viridiplantae, Streptophyta, Magnoliopsida, Poales, Poaceae. The record is from RefSeq and is a predicted model, not a curated record.